Molecule: long non-coding RNA, 1327 nt
Filed under: Homo sapiens (human)
Lineage: Eukaryota; Metazoa; Chordata; Mammalia; Primates; Hominidae
Description: non-protein coding LINC02405:25
Source: RNAcentral
GUUAAAUGGCCAGCAGGAAUUAUCCACUAGAGAAGCGGAAGGGAGAGAAUGGAAAUGGCCGCAUGCAGCUCCUCUCCCUCAGACAGCUCGGGGCUCAGCGGAAUGAGCACAGUCUGCAGGACAAGUGCGGAGGACUUCAGUCCCCUCUACUGUAUAUUGGCUUUAGGACUCAAGUUGUCCCUGAAAUAGAGGAAGGUGUUUUCUAGGGUAGUGGUAAUUAUCACAGUCAAAAAAGUAGGCGAGAGCACUUAGGAAAACUGUGCGGAGAUCGGCUGCUGAUGUGUAAAUACUGCUGAAGCUGCUUAUUCAAGAUUAGAAAACCUGAGACCCAGACGGGGGAAACUGCUUUCCAUGGUUAAUCGUCAACAACUGGCCAGGAUGGGACAGAAGCCCAUACAUAGCCUUCAUUCCAGGGCUCAGAACAAAAAGAAGGCAGUGGCCUGGGCUGCACCUGAGCUUGGCUUCACAUAGGAGGGAUUCUGGAACGCAGGAUCCUGACAACGACCUCAAGCCCCUGUAAAGCAACACAUUUUUUGGCAAGAAUCCCUGGGACAGAGAAAGAAUUUCUUCUCACUUAUUAUUGAGAAUGUUCUCAUGUCUUGCAAGGCUCACUGCCCAGUAGAAGCUGAAAAGAUUCAGUAUGAGUAAAAGAAGAGAUCUGAAAUUUGCAGCUUGUCAUAGAAAGAACUGAGACUACCAUACACCUAAGAAGUCAAAGUUGCUAUUCAAGGGGAAGUGCAAACACAAGAUGAGGGAAACUGAUGUAUUUAGUGUCUACAUUUUACAAAUGGAUGCUUUUCAUAAUAUGAAAAUACUGCACCAUAAGAUUGCCAGUCACAACAGCACGGCUACAGUGAAAAUUGUCAGUCUUUUUUUUUUCCAGGAUCCCAGUGGAUUUGUUACGGUGAGAAAGCUUCACUUGGAGACAAAGCCAAAACCUUCCUCCCAGGCUCCCUUGGAUGUAGGGGGAAGCAAACUGGCUGUCCAGGCCUCUGAGCCACAUCUACACACCUCAUGAGAGGGCCUGUGCAACAUUGCCUUAGAGAUGGAGAGCAUUGCUUCAGAAUCAGGGAAGCCUAAAUUUCACCCCUGGGGCUGCCCCUUGUGAUCUUGAAUGGCUCCUGACAAGAGGCUGCUGGGGAGGCUCCUGCUCCCUGCCUUUCGGGACUGCCGUGGAUUGCCCAUUGAUGGGUCAAAAUCCAGCUACCUGGUAAUUCAAUGAGUCCCUAGUGUGCAUCCAAUAAAUUAUCUUCUGUUUAAAUUAGAACAAACUGUUUUUAAUCUGUGUGCUAAGAAUCUCAUUAAAUGCAUCAUAAAUUUCAAAAUC